Molecule: ribosomal RNA, 665 nt
Filed under: Hoeflea sp.
Lineage: Bacteria; Pseudomonadati; Pseudomonadota; Alphaproteobacteria; Hyphomicrobiales; Rhizobiaceae
Description: bacterial SSU rRNA
Rfam family: Bacterial small subunit ribosomal RNA
Source: RNAcentral
GCUCAGAACGAACGCUGGCGGCAGGCUUAACACAUGCAAGUCGAGCGCCCCGCAAGGGGAGCUGCAGACGGGUGAGUAACGCGUGGGAAUCUACCCAUCUCUACGGAACAACAGUUGGAAACGACUGCUAAUACCGUAUACGCCCUUCGGGGGAAAGAUUUAUCGGAGAUGGAUGAGCCCGCGUUGGAUUAGCUAGUUGGUGGGGUAAAGGCCUACCAAGGCGACGAUCCAUAGCUGGUCUGAGAGGAUGAUCAGCCACACUGGGACUGAGACACGGCCCAGACUCCUACGGGAGGCAGCAGUGGGGAAUAUUGGACAAUGGGCGCAAGCCUGAUCCAGCCAUGCCGCGUGUGUGAUGAAGGCCCUAGGGUUGUAAAGCACUUUCAACGGUGAAGAUAAUGACGGUAACCGUAGAAGAAGCCCCGGCUAACUUCGUGCCAGCAGCCGCGGUAAUACGAAGGGGGCUAGCGUUGUUCGGAAUUACUGGGCGUAAAGCGCACGUAGGCGGAUCGUUAAGUGAGGGGUGAAAUCCCAGGGCUCAACCCUGGAACUGCCUUUCAUACUGGCGAUCUUGAGUUCGAGAGAGGUGAGUGGAAUUCCGAGUGUAGAGGUGAAAUUCGUAGAUAUUCGGAGGAACACCAGUGGCGAAGGCGGCUCACUGGCUC